Molecule: ribosomal RNA, 255 nt
Filed under: uncultured bacterium
Lineage: Bacteria
Description: partial 16S ribosomal RNA
Rfam family: Bacterial small subunit ribosomal RNA
Source: RNAcentral
UACAGGGGGUGCAAACGUUUGCUCGGAAUCAUUGGGCGUAAAGCGCACGUAGGCGGUUCGUUAUGUCGGAUGUGAAAGCCCUUGGCUUAACCGAGGAAGUGCAUCCGAAACUGGCGAGCUAGAGUACUAAAGAGGAUCGCGGAAUUCCCGGUGUAGAGGUGAAAUUCGUAGAUAUCGGGAGGAACACCGGUGGCGAAGGCGGCGAUCUGGGUAGAUACUGACGCUGAGGUGCGAAAGCGUGGGGAGCAAACAGGG